This 130-nucleotide ribosomal RNA is filed under the name Mustela putorius furo (domestic ferret). Lineage: Eukaryota; Metazoa; Chordata; Mammalia; Carnivora; Mustelidae. The record is from RNAcentral.
GUCUACGGCCAUACCACCCUGAACACGCCCAAUCUCGUUUGAUCUCGGGCCUGGGUCUAAGCAGGGUCGGGCCAGGUUAGUACUUGGAUGGGAGGAAUGUAGUGCAAAUCCAACCUGAGUCCUAUAGCUU